RNAcentral lists this transfer RNA (73 nucleotides) under Thermoplasmata archaeon. Its description in RNAcentral is "tRNA-Gly". It matches the Rfam family "tRNA". Rfam says of the family: Transfer RNA (tRNA) molecules are approximately 80 nucleotides in length. Their secondary structure includes four short double-helical elements and three loops (D, anti-codon, and T loops). Further hydrogen bonds mediate the characteristic L-shaped molecular structure. tRNAs have two regions of fundamental functional importance: the anti-codon, which is responsible for specific mRNA codon recognition, and the 3' end, to which the tRNAs corresponding amino acid is attached (by aminoacyl-tRNA synthetases). tRNAs cope with the degeneracy of the genetic code in two manners: having more than one tRNA (with a specific anti-codon) for a particular amino acid; and 'wobble' base-pairing, i.e. permitting non-standard base-pairing at the 3rd anti-codon position. Lineage: Archaea; Methanobacteriati; Thermoplasmatota; Thermoplasmata. RNAcentral also lists the same sequence under 1 other name. The record is from RNAcentral.
GCGGGCAUAGUGUAGUCUGGUAUCACAUAGGCUUGCCAAGCCUAUAACUCGGGUUCAAAUCCCGGUGCCCGCA